RNAcentral lists this non-coding RNA (45 nucleotides) under Echinostoma caproni. The record is from RNAcentral. Lineage: Eukaryota; Metazoa; Platyhelminthes; Trematoda; Plagiorchiida; Echinostomatidae.
GCACUGCUGACGAGUCCCAAAUGGGACGAAGUGGCUAUCCAGUGC